AUUGAACGCUGGCGGCAGGCCUAACACAUGCAAGUCGAACGGUAACAGGAAGAAGCUUGCUUCUUUGCUGACGAGUGGCGGACGGGUGAGUAAUGUCUGGGAAACUGCCUGAUGGAGGGGGAUAACUACUGGAAACGGUAGCUAAUACCGCAUAACGUCGCAAGACCAAAAAGGGGGACCUUCGGGCCUCUUGCCAUCGGAUGUGCCCAGAUGGGAUUAGCUAGUAGGUGGGGUAACGGCUCACCUAGGCGACGAUCCCUAGCUGGUCUGAGAGGAUGACCAGCCACACUGGAACUGAGACACGGUCCAGACUCCUACGGGAGGCAGCAGUGGGGAAUAUUGCACAAUGGGCGCAAGCCUGAUGCAGCCAUGCCGCGUGUAUGAAGAAGGCCUUCGGGUUGUAAAGUACUUUCAGCGGGGAGGAAGGGAGUAAAGUAAAUACCUUUGCUCAUUGACGUACCCGCA
RNAcentral lists this ribosomal RNA (465 nucleotides) under Escherichia coli. RNAcentral's name for it is "bacterial SSU rRNA". It matches the Rfam family "Bacterial small subunit ribosomal RNA", at positions 30 to 483 of the family's 1533-position model. Lineage: Bacteria; Pseudomonadati; Pseudomonadota; Gammaproteobacteria; Enterobacterales; Enterobacteriaceae. The record is from RNAcentral.